CUUGUGGCUGGGGGUGAAAGGCCAAUCAAACCGGGAGAUAGCUGGUUCUCCCCGAAAGCUAUUUAGGUAGCGCCUCGUGAAUUCAUCUCCGGGGGUAGAGCACUGUUUCGGCAAGGGGGUCAUCCCGACUUACCAACCCGAUGCAAACUGCGAAUACCGGAGAAUGUUAUCACGGGAGACACACGGCGGGUGCUAACGUCCGUCGUGAAGAGGGAAACAACCCAGACCGCCAGCUAAGGUCCCAAAGUCAUGGUUAAGUGGGAAACGAUGUGGGAAGGCCCAGACAGCCAGGAUGUUGGCUUAGAAGCAGCCAUCAUUUAAAGAAAGCGUAAUAGCUCACUGGUCGAGUCGGCCUGCGCGGAAGAUGUAACGGGGCUAAACCAUGCACCGAAGCUGCGGCAGCGACACUAUGUGUUGUUGGGUAGGGGAGCGUUCUGUAAGCCUGUGAAGGUGUACUGUGAGGUAUGCUGGAGGUAUCAGAAGUGCGAAUGCUGACAUAAGUAACGAUAAAGCGGGUGAAAAGCCCGCUCGCCGGAAGACCAAGGGUUCCUGUCCAACGUUAAUCGGGGCAGGGUGAGUCGACCCCUAAGGCGAGGCCGAAAGGCGUAGUCGAUGGGAAACAGGUUAAUAUUCCUGUACUUGG
Molecule: ribosomal RNA, 643 nt
Filed under: Escherichia coli
Lineage: Bacteria; Pseudomonadati; Pseudomonadota; Gammaproteobacteria; Enterobacterales; Enterobacteriaceae
Description: partial 23S ribosomal RNA
Rfam family: Bacterial large subunit ribosomal RNA
Source: RNAcentral